Esox lucius (northern pike) is the source of this 439-nucleotide long non-coding RNA. The record is from Ensembl. NCBI's taxonomy places the organism in Eukaryota, Metazoa, Chordata, Actinopteri, Esociformes, Esocidae.
CUUCUUCCAUUUUUUUAUAAUUGUGCCAACAGUUGCUGCCUUCUCAUCAAGAUGCUUGCCUAUUGUCCUGUACCCCAUCCCAGCCUUGUGCAGGUCUACAAUUUUAUCCCUGAUGUCCAUACACAGCUCUCUGGUCUUGGCCAUUUUGGAGAGGUUGGAGUCUGUUUGAUUGAGCGUGUGGACAGGUGUCUUUUAUACAGUUGAAGUGUACCUGUGAUAAAAAUUACAGACCUCUGCAUGAUUUAUUUUCUGGUGGCUACAGCUAUCCAUUAUCAUUCACAUUCAAAUUGUAUCAUGGUUGUAUGCUGGUGUCAUUAGUUACACCAGCUUGAAAGAAAUCACUUUACUAACUUGGUACAGAACAUUAUCCACAUCUAACAGGUAGUUUUGCAAAUAAAAUGAAUUUGCAUGUAUUUAUUGUAGCUGUGGUCAGACAGGC